GGCAGGUCGAGCGGACAGAUGGGAGCUUGCUCCCUGAUGUUAGCGGCGGACGGGUGAGUAACACGUGGGUAACCUGCCUGUAAGACUGGGAUAACUCCGGGAAACCGGGGCUAAUACCGGAUGGUUGUUUGAACCGCAUGGUUCAAACAUAAAAGGUGGCUUCGGCUACCACUUACAGAUGGACCCGCGGCGCAUUAGCUAGUUGGUGAGGUAAUGGCUCACCAAGGCAACGAUGCGUAGCCGACCUGAGAGGGUGAUCGGCCACACUGGGACUGAGACACGGCCCAGACUCCUACGGGAGGCAGCAGUAGGGAAUCUUCCGCAAUGGACGAAAGUCUGACGGAGCAACGCCGCGUGAGUGAUGAAGGUUUUCGGAUCGUAAAGCUCUGUUGUUAGGGAAGAACAAGUACCGUUCGAAUAGGGCGGUACCUUGACGGUACCUAACCAGAAAGCCACGGCUAACUACGUGCCAGCAGCCGCGGUAAUACGUAGGUGGCAAGCGUUGUCCGGAAUUAUUGGGCGUAAAGGGCUCGCAGGCGGUUUCUUAAGUCUGAUGUGAAAGCCCCCGGCUCAACCGGGGAGGGUCAUUGGAAACUGGGGAACUUGAGUGCAGAAGAGGAGAGUGGAAUUCCACGUGUAGCGGUGAAAUGCGUAGAGAUGUGGAGGAACACCAGUGGCGAAGGCGACUCUCUGGUCUGUAACUGACGCUGAGGAGCGAAAGCGUGGGGAGCGAACAGGAUUAGA
RNAcentral lists this ribosomal RNA (744 nucleotides) under Bacillus spizizenii ATCC 6633 = JCM 2499. RNAcentral's name for it is "bacterial SSU rRNA". It matches the Rfam family "Bacterial small subunit ribosomal RNA", at positions 56 to 782 of the family's 1533-position model. The record is from RNAcentral. Lineage: Bacteria; Bacillati; Bacillota; Bacilli; Caryophanales; Bacillaceae.